CGGUUUGGAAGUGAAAAUGCGCAAGCACUUUACGAUCGGGUAAGGGUUUCAAUAGCAACUCCUCGGAAAAUUCUUCUUCUUCUUUUUCUAAUAUUGCCGAUGAUAGAAUCGGAAGAAAGAGAAGAAGAGAGAGAGCGAAGGUCGCUGUUGAAGCGAGAGCCAUCGUUGCUUGCGAAGUUGGGAACUCGCUAUGAGUGAUGUGUAUACAGUACACUACAGAAGUUCCGCCAUGAACGCGGUUUGCGAGCUUCAGGUUUCGGUGAUGGUCCAAGAGUUUCUCUUCUUGUGGGCCAAGUUUUUUGGGCUUUAUGUAAGCCCAAUUAAAUUUAUUUAGGGAAAUCUUCUCUUUCACUGUAUUCUCACAUGAUCCAAAAUUCUAAAUUUGCCCCUCUUUGGAUAUAUUAAGUGAUACUGUGACACAUAAAUUUGAUGUCAUGUCAUAGGAAAUUUUUUGACAUUAAAUAGAAACAUCAAAGAGACUAAUGACUAAUUCUUUUUCUCUAUUAAUUUAUUCUCCAAAUUCUUAAAUUCCUAAAUUAUCAACAAAAAAAAAAAAUUUAUCAAAUUCUUAAAUUGUACCACCCAAAUAACUUCUUCUCCUUAAAUUUGAAAUACAUGAAACAUUGGUCUUGAGGUUGUUGUCUAGGAGUUGAAAUUAGAAUUCCUCUAAAUGAUGUUAGUCCUCUGAAAGGUUGUGGAGAAGGUGUGGGUUCUUUGAAUGGUGUUGGUCCUCUGAUGGAUGGUGGUCUAUUUCCAUGUCCAUCAAUGAUUUCCUACAAAAUUUUAAACAAUUAGACAACUUACAUGCUAAAUUUUCUAACUCGUUAGCAAAAAUCUCACUAAAAUUUACUUCUCCAUGAUUUGAAUAACUUACAAGCAAAAUGUUCUCUAACUAAAACCAAAUUGCCCCACAAAGUAAAACAAUUAUUGACAUAGAGAUUGGUCACAAAGUAAACUAGACAUAUCAGACUAGUGAUUGUAAAAUUAGUGUAUUGAUCUUGGGAUUGUUGUUGCUCUUUAGUAAUGAUAGAUUUUGAUUGAGGGAUCUCUGCUUGUGUUUCUAUCUCUCUUUGUGGGUUUGGUAUAAUAGACACACUAUUGUCAUGUCAUUCCCCACCACAAUUAGAGCAUGUCCACUCAUUAUCAGAUCUCUUUAGUUUAUAGCCACUGAUCGAAUCUUUAUUCCGAUCAUUUCUUUUCUUUUUCUUUUUCUUUCCCAUAAUUUUCUUUAAUGGAGGUUGUACUAAAGUAGCAAUGUCAAUCACAAAAAAAUGGAGAUUUGAAUUGUGAUUUCACCUUUUUAAAAUUUCUUGUUAAAACAUAAAGAAUUUAACUCAAGAUUAAUGUUGGUUAUGAAAAUAGAAAAUGGAGAACGUUUUUGGUUAGUGAAAAAAACAAAAUUUAAUUUAUCUAUUUAAUUUGAUAAUCAAAAGACUAGAAAUAAAUAGAGAUAAAGGAAGAGAUAUCACACAGAGAUAUAUUCUGGUUCACCCAAUCCGGGUUACGUCCAGUCCUCACAACCGUGAGAUUUUUUACCAAGUGUUCAACACGAAGAAUGUUCUUGCUUUUUACACCACCAGUCCAGAUCAACCUUGAUCUGUUAUAAUCUUCACCUUUCAACUUAGAAAUCAUUUUUACAAUCACCUUUCAACCUUGAAAAGAUUUUUACAAACACACUCAAUCUAACAUAAAAGAUAGACUUGAGUUACAAAUGAUGUGUAUGAUAAAAAUGUUUGGGAUCUUGAAAUUUCUCAAUACUUGUUUGAGAGAAAUGAAAGAUAAACUCAGUAAAUAAUGACCCAAAGAUAUAGUGAAGAAAGUUGGAGUUUGCUUAAAGAGUUUUUUUUUUUACUUGUUACUUGAACAAGUGUUGGUAGAUUUGUAAAUUGAACUCUUGCAUUCAUCUUCCAAUUGAUCUUCAAUUUAUAGAUGUUAAAAGGCUUUGAAUAUAUAUUUUAAAAUGAAACAUGUGUUUAUCUGUUGUCCAGAACGUUCUUGAUAAAACAGAGAACAUUCUUGCUAUUGGGUCUCUUGGAAAAUGUGAAUGAGUGAGUGAAUGAGUUGACACUGUUUUGAGUCAGAUUUGUGCAUAACUUUAUGCAGAAUAUUGUAAGUACAAUGUACUUGUGUCCUUGCUCACAACUCAACAAUUUGGAGAUCAAUCUUGAGAUUGUUUUUUACCUUUGGGCAUUGAUCUCGAGUUUUUGGCUUCACCAAUGAUUUGAGAAGUCGUGAUACUCUUUAAUAUGUGGUUUAGACUGUGGAAAAUUAUUUUUUUCAAUUUUAUCUUUUAAAAGAGAUUAACCAGAAUGUUCUUUUGUAAAACAAGAACAUUCUUCAUUUUCUAUUUUGUAUGAGUGUUGGAUUUUGACAGUUGUUGUGUGUCAGUCCUUUGUCUCAUAAAAACAUGAUGUGUUUUAUGCAAAAAGGUGCAGCAGUAGUGUCCUUGUUGUCAUGGUUGUCCUUACUCAUAGCUCAUCAAUUUGGAGAUUGAUUUUGAUGGUUUGCUUUGCUUAUGUUGAUCCUCUUUGAUCGAAUCUAUCUAAAAAAAUCUUGUGUAGAUUAUUAAAUUACUCUGUAAUGAAUAUUGAUGUUUUGUAGUAUAGAUAGAUGUACUUUUGUUUCCCAAAUCGAAUUUAAACUACAACAUAUUUUGCUCUUUGUAAACCAGAACGUUCUUGGAUUAAAAUUGUAAAAACAAAUAACGUUCUUCGUUUCUGUUUUGAGUGAUUGCUGGAUUUUGACAAUUCUAACAGUUGUUGUGUGUCAAGUUUUUCUGUUUUGUACGCGUGUCAGUGAUGCAGUGACUUUAUAAUUUAUGUCCAGUUUGUAAUUGCUUACUUUUUAGCCAUCAAUUUUAGGGAUUAGUCUUAUUUUUUAUUCUUGAUGCAUUGCUUUCUUUUUUUGUUGAUCUUAUGAAAAUAAUAUGUCCAAAAUGAUCUUGAGUAUACAAUUAUGUUCCUUCGUAAUGAAUACUAGUGAUUUGCAAUGUAGAUUGAUGUAUUUUUGUAGCCUAAAUCAAUCUUGAUUUAAAGAAGACUUUGUUCUUUGUAAACUAGAAUGUUCUUGGAUUAAAGUUAUCAAAACCAGAACAUUCUUCGUUUUUCAAAAUGUUAUCAAGAAUGAUCUUUGUUUUUCAAAAUGUUGUCAAGAAUGUUCUUCGUUUUUUCUAUUCAAUAACCAGAACAUUAUUCGUUUCUCAUAUUUGAUAUUUCUUCUUUCAAAUGAUCUUGCUUCCGAUUUAUAACAUAAUAUGAUCACUGAUUGUUGUAUGAAUGUAUUUGAUCACCUUCUUCAUGAAGAUGUAAUAAUCAUUCUCUUGAAUGAUUGAUAUAUGAUACGUUCUUUUUGAGAUUAUUUCAUUAUUGAUUGGGUACUUAUGCACUUUGAUGAAGUGAAUUAAAACUCAAGUGCAAUCAUUAGUAUACCACCAUUCAUAAAACUUAAUCAUUUAUUUCAUAAGGUUGUUGUCAUUAAAACAUACAUCAAAAAGGUUUUUGCCUUAACAGGUACAAGUUUGGGUAAUCAAUUAUCCUCUCAAUAUUGUUGAGAAGUUGAAGGGUUUAUGAAGUAAUUGUAGUUUGUAUUGCAAGAGGUAAUUGUAAGUCAUCCAUUAAAACUUUGGAGUAGAAGGAGAAUAAGUGAUUUAAGUAGUGUAGUUUAGGGAUUUAAGAAUUUGGAGAAAAAUAAAUAGAGAAGAAAAACUAGUUGUUAGCCUCUUUAAUGUGCUUAUUUAUUGUCAAAAUACUCACUAUGAUGUGUCAUCCACACUUAUGUGUCACGGUGUUACUUAACGUGAAACAUGAGCUCCUCUAAUAGAGCUCAUUGAUGGAAAGAACAUUUUGCUCGAUGUUAAACAAAAUGAGAGUAUUUUUUGCAUAGUGUAAAUUUCAGUGAGCAUUUUGAUUGACAGUUAUAAUUUGAGGAGACAAAUUGGAGGUUUAGACCACUUAAAAGUCCUAAACUCUCAAAAAAAUUCUCAAAUAUUUGAUUUUCUAUCAAAACAUCAUAUUUAGUUGGUUCAAUAGUCUUAAUCAAAAUGUAAGUGUUGUUUUUCCCCUUAUUUUAGUUUUUCCUUUCGUGUUUUUCUUCUUCUAAUCUACCAUAUCUAGAUUGACCAAUCCACGUACGCUAUGUUUCUGAUUUUUUUGUUUUGUUUCAUAGUUUAGUUUAGGGUAUUAUUAGUUUUAAUUAUUUUCGUUUUUCAUUUGUUUGUUUAAUUGAGAUAUGCUCCAAAUUUCCCGUAUUAGACAUGGUGGAAUUUCAACUCAUGCCUCUAGUUACAGAUAACAUUAGGAGAAACAAAUUUAUGGGCGGGAUUAAAGUUCACAUACAAAAAGUAAAAAAAAAUAAAUAAAUAAAUACCACCACCACAUAUUUUAUCAUUUUCUGGAGUUGGAAUCUUUUCACGAAUACGCGGCAGUUUAAAUAGAAAUUUUUUCCCAAUAUAUCCUUUUUUUUUAUACUAAAGUACCCUACUCCCAGUUUUAUAUAUCAGAUUGUCCUACUUUUUGGACCUAAUAGGAAGUCGCUGGCCCACGGUGCAAUCUCCCACUAGGGUUGAAUUUUUUUUUUGUCGUUUUAAGUAUUAUUAUAUGAAUUAAAUAUAUUAAUUAAUAAUUAAAUUAAUAAAUAAUAAUACAUUAAUAAAUAACAAUAAUUAUUAUUAUUAUUAUUAUUAUUAUUAUUAUAUUGUUAUUAUUAUUAUGAUUAAAAAUGAUUAUAAUUAAAAAUUAGGGCAAUUUAUGAUUAAUCAAUUUGCUAAAAUUAAUUUGAUACUUACCAAAUUUGCUACUUAUCAAAUUGGAUUAAUCAAUUUGAUAUCAAAUUUUUGCGAUUAAUCAAUUUUUUACCAAAUUGUACAAUUGAUUAUUUUUUUCAUUUAACGGUAAAAUUAAUUAUUAAUCAUAAAAUGCUAAAAUUAAUUUUCUCAUUAAAUAUGAUUCGGUAAAUUGAUUAAUUUUCUCAUUAACUUACAAAUUAAUUUAAUAUCAAAAAAAUUGAUUUGUGUGAUUGGUAAAUUGAAUAUGCAUUAGCUUGUUUGUCUUGUCACAUUUAUUCAGCCGCAUUAAUUUUGAUAUAUAUAUUUUGUCACAUUACCAAUCACACGAAUAAUUUUUUUUGAUAUAUUGAGAUAAAAUCAUGUAAUAUAUUGUAUAAUAAUGUAUUGUUAACUUAUCUUAAAAGAUAAAAUUAAAUUAAAUAUAUUCAUCUUCCAAAUGUAUUUUAAAAAUAUCUAUAUAUAAAAUGAUUAGAUUAAGUUCUUUUAUUACUUUUUCCAAUCACACAAAUCAAUUUUUUUGAUAUUAAAUUAAUUUGUAAAUUAAUGAGAAAAUUAAUCAAUUUAUCAAAUCAUAUUUAAUGAGAAAAUUAAUUUUACCAAUUUGUGAUAUAUCGUUAAUUUAACGAUUAAAUAAGAAAAUUAAUGAAAAAAAUUAAUCAAUUGUACAAUUUGGUAACAAAAUGAUUAUUCGCAAAUUGUCCAAUUUGGUAAGUAUCAAAUUAAUUUUAGCUAAUUGAUUAAUCAUAAAUUGUCCUACUUUUUAAUUAUAAUGAUUUUUAAUAAUAAUAAUAAUAUAAUAAUAAUAAUAAUAAUAAUAAUAUAAUAAUAAUAAUAAUAAUAAUAAUUAUUAUUAUUAUUAUUAUUAUUAUUAUUAUUGUUGUUGUUGUUGUUGUUAUUUAUGAAUGUAUUAUUUAUUAUUAUUUAUUUAUUUAUUUAUUUAAUAAUUUAUUGAUAUAUUUAAUUCAUAUAAUAAUACAUAAAAUGGCAACAACAAAAAAUCAACCCUAGUAGAAGGUCGCAUCCUAAGCCAGCGACUUCCAAGUAGGUCCAAUUCAGAAUCUUCUUUUAGCUGGUCGCACCUUGGGCCAACGACUUCCUAUUUAGUCCAAAAAGUAGGGCAAUCUAGUAUAUAAAACUGGGAGUAGGGUAUUUUGGUACAAAAAACAAAAAGAAAAAGAGAAUAUAUUGAAAAAAAUCCACUUAAAUAUAGAUAGGAGAGAGAAAUAUCGAAAUGCGUUUUGUUUAAAUAUCAAAUAAUAUAAAGUAAUCACUUGCAAAAUUUAACCUCAAUCAUGGCCGAUUUUAAUGUAGGCAUUCUAUAGGAGGUGUAGGAUGAGGAGGUGUAGGAUAUCUUUUUCUAUCAGUACAAUAGUCAUAUAUUACAUAAUUUUUCUUUAUAUUUUCUAAUUGUUUUUCUUCUUGAGGAUUUAAUUGCCAAUAAUUUUGGUUAUUCCACCAGAAAUUACCAUUAAAACAUUUAGGAUCAACCAAGUUUGGAUUUAGACUUGGACAUCCACUAACAUCAAAUCCUUGGAAGUAUGCUUUAAAAGGUGCAUAAUUCCAAUUGAUUUUGGCUUUGCCUCCUUCUGUUGCCCAAUCUUCACCAUUCCACAAACUUAUUUGUAUUUGCAUAGCAUUUGAUGGAUAGCUCGCUCCAAUAUUGGUAUUGUUCUUGUAUACUCUAAUGGGGAUAUUGUCCACAUAAAAUCUGUCAAGCCAAAAUUUGAUCAAAUUUUACAAUUACAUAUAUAACUAUAUGUAAAUACAUUAAUUAAUAUAGACUUAUACAAAGAACUAGUGUGCAUGUAUGUAUCUUACACAAUUUGAUGUGCAUUCCAAAGAAUUUUGUAGUCGUGAAAAUCGAUUGUGGGGUCAAACCAAAGAUGAAUUUUGUGUUCCCUAUUUCCUACUCCAUUUGCAAACACAUUGGUCUGUAAUAUAUAUGGCUUCCCUAUUCUAUUGCCCAAAAAUUCAAAGUCCAUCUCUUCGUGCAAUUUUCCAAGUGUUGUCAACUGCACAAUAAAUGAAAAAAACUUAUUAAAUUAUCUUUAUUAUUAGUUGUUGUAUUCUUUUUAUUAUAAAUGUAAAUUGAAAAAUUAAAAUUUUAGUGUAAUACACGUAAUAUUAAUUAUGAUUUAAUUUAUAUAUAUUAUCAAUCCAAAUAAUUUAUUAAUAAAAAUAUUUAGUUUUUAUCAAGUAAAAUUUUGUAGAUAUAACAAUUAAAUUCUAUUAAUUAUCAGAUAAAGUUGAAAAAAAAUAAUUAAAAUUGUAUUUGAAACUAAAAGUAUAUAUCUUCUAAACAAUUUAAAUUGUGUAACUGUGGCAAUUAUUAUAAGAAAUAUGGACUAAUAAUUAGGAUUAAAUCUCCUCUUCUGGCAUGAAAUAAGAGUAUAAUUUCAUAUUCAACAUCAUAUCAUAUCAAAAUAAGGGGAAAGAACUCACAUAGUAAGCUGUGACAACUCCUGCAGAGUCACUGCCUGGUACUUUGAUCCUCAUAUGGAAGAAUCCAGAGCCAUAAGUCAUCUUCGAUGCAAAUCCAGCUCCUAUAUUGCAUAUGUGAUAACUUAAUAUCAAAUUAACUUGCAAAAAAGGAAGCAGUGUUCCAUAUUAAAAUAACUAAUCUACCGAUUACAUUCAAAUUAUAGUUACCCCAAGUUUUCUAUAUUGUAAUGUAUAUAUAUUUUUUUUAUUUACUUUAGGUAUUUUUUAAAAGAAAAAUGGUAAUAUAUAAAUAUAAAAAAGAGCAUGUCUAAAAAAAAUAUAAAGGUGCUCGCAUCUAUGUAUAUAAUACUUUCUCUGUAUUAUAAUAAAGAAAUGGAUAUUAUAAUAUAUAUUAUUUAUUUAAAAAAGAUCAAAUUACAAACCACUUAAAAAAACAUUUAAAUCCGACGACAUAUUUAAGUAAAUAUAGAUGAAUUAUUAUUAUAUUAAAUUGUGCCUUUUAUGUUAAAUCAUUGAUUCUCUAACAUUUUAUAUAAUUUAUGCAUAUUAGUUUAUAUUACUUUUUGACUUAUUUAAAUGUAUUAUUAUAAAAAAGAGUUUAAAAAUAUGUUAUAUAAAGUUGAAUUCUUUAAAAUGUCAUGUUGAAUCUCAAAAUAAAAUCUAAUCUCAUUAACUUAUUAACUCAUUAAUUUAUCUAAAAGAAUAUUAAAUUAUUUAUUUAAAAAUAUUAAUAUAAAAUAAAUAUUUAAAUAUGCUAACAAAUUAUAUUAUACUUUCAAAUAUAUCAAACUUAUGCUUUGUAAAACCUAACUUUACCCAGUAUAUAUAGUCAUUUGUAGACAGCUUGAUUGGUGAGAAAAAAAAUACUAAAACAAUAAUAAAAAUGAAAUCCGAGACUAAAAUUUAAAAAACUAAUAUAGCUACUAAUUUCUAAUAGAAUAUUUAAUAAUACAACUUUUAAGACAACAAUGAUGAAUUUUGCAUAAUUAAAUUGUGAAUGCAUAUAGUAAGAUAUUGACUGACAUAACCAAAUCAUGUGUCUUAUUUUCAAUGGUAAUUACCAUUUUCUAUGUUAUGUUAUGGAACUCUAGGGGAAGAAUCAUAUGACCAAACAAAAUCAAGUCCUAGACACUACAGUAAUGGGAAUCGAUUCUCUCCCAUGAAAUCUUAGUCUCAUAUAUAUAAGACAACAAAAAAUAAAAAUAAUGGAUGAUAUUUUCUCCAUCUCAAAUGAAUAUCAAUUUAUCAAAACAAAUUUAUCUUAUGAUGAAUGUGAUUUACAAAUUUAAAAAUAAUUUUAAGUUUUUUUAUACUAUCUUUAAUAAUUACUAUAUAUAUAUGACACUUAUUAUAACCAAUAGAUUAAUUUCACAUGUAGAAACGAAAUAUUACCGGCAUCAAAUAAAAAAUGAAAAAAUAGAUUUUAAUUUUGACACCAUUCAUAUUUAACGACUAAAUUAAAAACAAAUUUUAGUCUUUAAUUUAGUUGAUAUUUUAAUUAAAUUUGUUUCAUUUUUAUGACAUAAUCACUAAUAUACUUGGUAGUGUUGAAUAUUUUUUCUUUUAACUGAAAAAAUAGGCGUGACCAUUUAAAUAAAAAAUAAACAGACGUCGAAAAGGCGAUUUAACAAUAAUUAAGGUAAAAUGAAUGAUUAAUAUAUAACCUGAAUAGUUAUCCAUUGUGAGCAGAAUUUCGUUCCCUUGAUUUAAAGACACUAAAUGAUUGCCACCCCAUGUGGGGUUGUAAGUUUGACCAAAUACUACUCCUUCAUUUUUUGUAAUUACUCUACCAAGAACAAUAUGAGGGACGAGGACCAAAAUAAAAACAAUAAUUAGAAAACUCAUUGAAUAAUGUGACCAAAUUUGGCCACAGGGUUUAAUCUUUUACACAGCUAUGGAAUCGAUUUGAUUAUAAUUCCUACUCUAGUUCUUCAUCUAUAUAUAUGUAUGUGGGUCACGUUGACUUAUCAAUAGUCAAUACUUUUUUGGGCCCGGUUUUUUUUAGUGUUUAAAUAAAUCAACUUUAAAAUUAAAGCAAUAAUUAACACCUUUAGAAAUAAAAUUAAAUACGUUUCACAUUCAGUAUUUUUGCUGCUUUAAAAGCUAAGUUGUUUAUUAAAAUAUAUUCUAUUGAAAUUCUAAUCAUGAAAACUAAUUAAUGAAAUAAAUGUGUUAUAAUAUUUUAUUGUUCUAUAUUUGAAAAAUUAUAAAUAAUUUUACUAAUGUACUUAUUGGGUUAAAAUUCCUAAUAAAGUUUUAUCAAAACUAAGAAACUCACCAAUAUAAAUAUAAUUUAAUAAAUUGUACAAACGUUUUAUUUUAACUUUAAUAUAUUAGUUUAAAAAUAAAAUUUUAAUCUUAAUUUUGACUUACAUAGUUACUAGAUAAUAUUAUAUGAUUAGAUUAACAAAAUGGAUAAUUUUUAUUUUUUUUUCCAUAUUUUUUAUUAAUAGAAAACAUAGUACAUAGUAUUAUGUAAUUUUUUUUUGCGGAAGUUUUAUAUGAUCAACAAUAUACACUACGGCCAUUUUUUAUAAUAAAAUAUAUAUACAAUUUUUGGUAAGAGAAAAUAGUAUUAAUGCUUGUAGUUGGUCAAAAACAUAGUUGUUGAUCAAAUUAAUCAUUACUAGAAAAAGAAUUAAUGCGGAAUGCAAUUAAGUCUUAUUAAAAAAUUAACUUUUCUGUCCAAAUAAGAGUAGACCAAACAUAAUUUAUGGUCGAAAAAUUUCCUCCGAACCCCCUCUUUUAUUUAUGUAUCCUCAAAAUAUAAAAGAAAAGAUUAAAAUACCCUCAUAUAUAUAUAUAUUAAAAAAUAACUAUUUUUCAUUUCGAUAUUUCCGGAACAAGAGUGUCAAAAAAUUCUUUUUUUUUUUUGGAAAACUUUUUUUAAGUUUUUCAGUGCACAACUUCAACUCCGGAAAACUUGAAAAAAGUUUUCCGGUACAUAACUUCACUCCCAGAAAACUUAUUUCACGUUUUUUGAAAAAAAUACACUAUCAGAAAACUUCAAUGUAAUAUUUCCAGAAGCUAACGGAAACCUUCGUCCAUGAGUUUUCGGGUAGUUGUCUGAUUUUUUAAAAAAUUAUUUUUUAAAUUAUUUUUUUAUUUAUUUUUUUAUUAUAUUAGUAUUUAUUUAAUUGAUUUGAUUUUAACUACUUUUUUUCUAGUGAGUAGGGCUAGAGGUGGAGACAGCAAAGUUGUAGCAAGAAUAUAUCUAUCCACGAGGAGGAUCAGACAAUACACAUAGACUGUACACGAGAAAGAUCAGGAGCAUGAGCAAGGUACGAAGAGGAGGGUGAUGGUCGAAUGUAUUAAUUAUUAUUUAUGGUAUAUUAAUUAUAGUACAUUAAUUAUUAAUUAUUAAUUAUUAUGGUGUAUUAAUUAUUUAUUGUGUAUUUAUAGUAUAUUAUUUAUAGUGUUUUAUUUAAGGAAUAUUAUUUAUUUAGGAUGUAUUAAUUAUUUAAUGGUAUAUUUAUGGUGUGUUAAUUACUAAUUUAUGGUAUAUUAAAAAAAAAAAGGUGUGUACAAACAUCUUUUGUUUAUUGUAGAAACAUCUUCUGUGCCGGAAAAGUUGAAGAAAGUUUUUCGGUAAUACACAUUUUUUCAUUCUGUACUGGAAAUCUUUUUUUGAGUUUUCCGGUAAAAACUUUAUGUACCAGAAAACUUAUAAAAAGUUUUUCGAAAAUACUAUGUGUAUCGGAAUUCUUCUAAAUAGUUUUCUAGAAAUUACUGGAAAACUUUUACCUACUAAAAAUCGUGUUAUUGUCUCAGAACAUAAUAAAAUGAAAAAAAAUAAAGGUAUUUUUGACAUUUUCAAAAAUUUAUGGGGAUAUAAAUAUAAAAAUGGAAGUACACGGUAAAUUUUUCUUUAUAGUCCGAUAUAUGGACCCAUUUAUUGUAUAUACUCAUCUGACACUGGACAAAAUUAUAUCCUGUUCUUUAGGUCCAUCUUCUUAAUGUUUCUCACUAUUUUAUUAAAAGUUGUAGUAUAUAUGUAAUUGCCUUGUAAUAUUUGUUCAUAGAAAGUAACUUUAUUUUUUCGGAGAGGAACCGGUUGAACAAUGUGUUGGGUUUUGGGCUCCCUUCCUAUGUGGAGAAAGGCCCAAUAUAUGCAAGUCCAUAUGUCUCACUUAACCAAGUGGAGAGAGGUCAGAUUAGUGGGCGUGAAAGAGCUGAAUUCAGAGAGAGACAAAGAGAAAAGCGAGAGAGGAAGAGCAAACCCUAUUUUCGCAUAAAACAGAGCAGCUACACUAGAUUCGCGAUUUCUCCUUCGUUCACCGUCGGAUCGGGCUGAAAUUUGGACAGCAGGUUCGUGACUCGUGGUACUUCAUUCUGACCGUUUGGAUCGUCGAUCAGAGGUCUGAGGUGGGAGAAAUUGGACUCGGACAGCAGCAGUUUUUCUGGUUUUUUUUUUUGCUGAACUUUGUUCUCAAUUUCAUGUUUGUUUUCUCAUUGUGUUGGCUGAUUGUUGUGCUGGUUACCUUGCUGUUUUUGGCUGGUUACUGAGCACGAAUUUGUGCCAUAUUAGAAACUCUCUUGUACCCAUAUUUUGAUCAUAGUGGAACACUAUUACUGGCUUGGUCCCGUGGUUGUUUACUUCUCACAUUGAGAAGGUUUUUCCACGUUAAAAAUUAUUGUGUCAUUUGUGAUGAUGAUUUUAGUUGCUGUGAUUAUUUGUUGAUUGCUCCUCACAGAUUCUUGCAAGUUUGGGAAAUUGAUUAUCCGCUGCAUAUUGCUCUGUUAGAGUUGUUAUUGUAUUUGUUGUUGAAUUUCCCAUCAGAGUGGUAUCAGAGCUCUUUGGUUAAGGGGCUGUUUGACUUGUUUGAAUGAUGGAGGCAAAUACAAAUAGAAUGAUUUGUUUGAAUGACACUAAUUAUCACUUAUGGAAGGGAAAAAUGAAGGAUCUGUUAUUUGUGAAGAAUUUGCAUCUUCCUGUGUUUGCUACUGAGAAGCCAGAAUCCAAGACUGAUGAGGAUUGGAGCUUUGAACAUCAGCAGGUCUGUGGUUUUAUUCGGCAAUAUGUAGAAGACAAUGUUUAUAAUCACAUUGCUAAUGAGGAACAUGCAAGAUCCUUGUGGAAGAAGAUUGAAUCUUUGUAUGCUUCUAAAUCAGGGAAUAAUAAGUUGUAUUUGUUGAACUCCUUGAUGAAUUUGAGGUACAAGGAGGGGACUUCUAUUUCAGAUCAUUUAAAUGAUUUUCAAGGGCUCCUAGAUCAAUUGUCAGGUAUGGGUAUCAAAUUUGAUGAUGAAGUGUUGGGACUAUGGCUACUGAAUACUCUACCAGAUUCUUGGGAAACUUUUCGGGUUUCAAUUACAAACUCAGCUUCUGAUGGUGUUGUCUCUUUGCAAAGUGUAAAGGGAAGUGUUCUUAAUGAGGAGAUGAGAAGGAAGGCACAAGGUACUUCAUCUCAUUCCGAGGUACUUGUCACUGAGAACAGGGGCCGAAGUCAAAGAAAGGAACCGAAAGGGAAUAGACAGAAUAACAGAAGUGCGAGUAGAGAGAACAACAGAAGUAAGUCCAAGUCCAGACACAAGAAUGUGGAGUGCAAUUAUUGUCACAAAAUGGGGCACAUACAGAGGAACUGUUUCAUAUGGAAAAGGGAGAGCAAAAACAAUAACAGUAAGCAGAGAGAUAAGAAUCAUGAUGAUGAUGACCGUGUUACUACUGCUACUUGUGAUGAUCUGAUUAUUCUCCGUGACUAUGACUCAGUCAAUCUUGUAUCAGAUGAGAGCAUGUGGAUUAUUGAUAGUGGUGCUACACUGCAUGUUACACCAAGGAAGGAGUUCUUCACAUCUUACACUUCUGGUGACUUUGGAGUGUUGAAGAUGGGUAAUGAUGGUGUGUCCAAGGUAGUUGGUAUUGGUGAUGUUUGUUUGCAGACCAACAUGGGAGUGCAGUUGUUGCUUAGAGGAGUCAAACAUGCUCCAGAUGUUCGCUUUAAUUUGAUCUCUGUGCAGAUGCUUGAUGAUGGUGGUUAUGAUAAUCACUUUGGUUCAGGAAAAUGGAAACUCACCAGAGGUAACUUAGUUGUGGCCAGAGGGGAGAAAAUUAAUAAACUGUAUUGGACUAAAGCAUUGGUUGCUAAAGACAGUGUGAAUGCCAUGGAUAUGGAGGCUUCUUUGUGGCACCGCAGGCUUAGUCAUAUCAGUGAAAAGGGGCUGAAUUGUUUAGCUAAAAAGGAUGUACUUCCGGGAUUAAAGAGUGCAGAGUUGGAGAAAUGUUCUCAUUGCAUGGCUGGUAAGCAGACUAGAGUAUCCUUCAAGAAACAUCCUUCCUCAAGGAAGUCAGAGUUGCUUGAAUUGGUGCAUUCUGAUGUUUGUGGCCCGUUGAAGGUAAAGUCAAUUAGUGGUGCACUUUACUUUGUUACUUUUAUUGAUGAUUGUUCCAGAAAGCUUUGGGUCUAUGCUUUGAAGACAAAAGACCAAGUUCUGGAGAAAUUCAAAGAGUUCCAUGUUAUGGUGGAGAGACAGUCAGGCAAGAAGUUGAAAUGCAUUCGUACUGACAAUGGUGGUGAGUAUUGUGGACCAUUUGAUGUUUAUUGCAAGCAGCACGGUAUCAGACAUGAAAAGACUCCUCCUAAAACCCCUCAGCUGAAUGGUUUAGCAGAGAGAAUGAACAGGACAUUGAUUGAAAGAGUUAGGUGUAUGCUUUCUGAAGCAAAGUUGCCUAAGCAUUUCUGGGGUGAAGCAUUGUACAUGGCAGUGCAUGUUAUUAAUCUGAGUCCUGCAGGUGCUUUGAAUGCUGAGGUGCCAGACAAGAUUUGGUUUGGCAAGAAUGUCAGGUAUGAUCAUUUGCGUGUCUUCGGUUGCAAAGCAUAUGUGCAUGUUCCAAAGGAUGAGAGAUCCAAGUUGGAUGGGAAGACAAGACAGUGCAUCUUUAUCGGUUAUGGUCAGGAUGAAUUUGGCUACAAGCUGUUUGAUCCAGUUGAGAAGAAAGCUGUUAGAAGCCGUGAUGUGAAGUUCAUGGAAGACCAAACCAUUGAAGACAUUGAUAAGAUGGAGAAGACUACACCUGAGAUUGAUAAUGGUUUGUCUGAUGUUGAUCCAGUUCGGAUGCCUACACAUGAUCUGGAUACUGCUGAAAAUAAUGUUCAGAAUGAUGAGCAACAUGGUGAUGUUGGUGAUCAGCAGCUUGGAGAUGAUUUUGAUGUUCCUAAUGAUGAUGCUGAAGAAGAACAUGAGAUGUCACAAGAUGAGGAUCUUGGUGAUGCUCCUGAACCACCUCAAGCUCAAGUUUGGAGGUCUACUAGGCAGAGGAAACCAUCCACCAGGUAUCCUUCUGAUGACUAUGUUACCUUGACUGAUGGAGGCGAACCUGAAUGUUAUGAUGAAGCCAUGGAGAGUGAUGAAAAGAAGAAGUGGUUGGAUGCUAUGCAAGAUGAAAUGAAGUCUUUGCAUGAUAAUCACACUUUUGAUUUGGUGAAACUACCUAAGGGAAAGAAGGCUUUGGAAAACAGGUGGAUCUUCAGAGUGAAGCAAGAAAGCAAUUCUACAUCUCCAAGAUAUAAAGCUAGAUUAGUUGUGAGAGGUUUCAGACAGAGAAAGGGUGUUGAUUUCAAUGAGAUUUUUUCUCCUGUGGUGAAGAUGUCAUCCAUUAGAACUGUGUUGAGUUUGGCUGCUACUCUUGAUUUGGAGGUAGAGCAAAUGGAUGUAAAAACUGCUUUCCUUCAUGGUGAUUUGGAGGAAGAGAUUUACAUGAAGCAACCUGAUGGUUUUCUUGUUAAAGGCAAAGAAGACUAUGUGUGUAGGCUCAGAAAGAGUCUAUAUGGUUUGAAGCAGGCCCCGCGUCAGUGGUACAAGAAGUUUGAGUCAGUUAUGUGUGAGCAAGGCUACAGGAAGACUACUUCUGAUCACUGUGUCUUUGUUAAAAAGUUUGCUGAUGAUGAUUUCAUUAUCUUGUUAUUGUAUGUUGAUGACAUGCUUAUUGUUGGGAAAAAUAUUUCCAUGAUUAACAGGUUGAAGAAGCAAUUGGGCGAGUCAUUUGCCAUGAAAGACAUGGGAGCUGCUAAGCAGAUUCUUGGUAUAAGAAUCAUGCGUGACAGGAACAAGAGAAACUUUGGCUGUCACAAGAACACUAUGUUGAAAGACUGUUACAGAGGUUCCAGAUGGAAUAUGCUAAGGCUGUAAGUACUCCUCUUGCUACUCAUUUUAAAUUGAGUACUAGUCAGAGUCCUACCAAUGAAGCUGAAAAAUCAGAUAUGCAACGAGUUCCUUAUGCAUCUGCUGUGGGUAGUUUAAUGUAUGCAAUGGUGUGUACAAGGCCUGAUAUUGCACAUGCUGUUGGUACAGUUAGUAGAUUUCUGUCUAAUCCAGGUAGAGAGCAUUGGAAUGCUGUGAAAUGGAUUUUGAGGUAUCUUCGUGGUACUACCAGUUUGAGGCUUUGUUUUGGAGGUGAUAAGCCUACUCUUGUGGGAUAUACUGAUUCUGAUAUGGCUGGAGACAUUGAUUCCAGAAAGUCUACUUCAGGCUACUUGAUUAAGCUUGCAGGGGGAGCUGUGGCAUGGCAAUCCAGAUUGCAGAGGUGUGUUGCAUUGUCCACUACUGAGGCAGAGUUCAUUGCCAUUACAGAAGCAUGCAAGGAAUUGUUAUGGUUGAGGAAAUUCUUGCAGGAGCUUGGUUUUGUUCAAGAUAAGUAUUUGCUAUUUUGUGAUAGUCAAAGUGCAAUUCAUCUUGGUAAGAACUCAACCUUUCAUUCUAGGUCCAAGCACAUUGAUGUUAGGUAUCAUUGGAUACGUGAUGUUUUGGAUGCUGGGUUGUUGGAAUUGGCCAAGGUUCAUACAGAUGAUAAUGGUGCUGAUAUGAUGACCAAGGCAUUACCGAGAAGCAAGUUUGAAACUUGUUGUGAGAUCGCCGGUUUGGCGGUCACCUCCACAUAGUUGUGAGGGGGGGAUAUGUUGGGUUUUGGGCUCCCUUCCUAUGUGGAGAAAGGCCCAAUAUGUGCAAGUCCAUGUGUCUCACUUAACCAAGUGGAGAGAGGUCAGAUUAGUGGGUGUGAAAGAGCUGAAUUCAGAGAGAGAGGCAAAGAGGAAAGUGAGAGAGGAAGAGCAAACCCUAUUUUCGCAUAAAACAGAGCAGCUGCACUAGAUUCGCGAUUUCUCCUUCGUUCACCGUCGGAUCGGGCUGAAAUUUGGACAGCAGGUUCGUGACUCGUGGUACUUCAUUCUGACCGUUUGGAUCGUCGAUUAGAGGUCUGAGGUGGGAGAAAUUGGACUCGGACAGCAGCAGUUUUUCUGGUUUUGUUUUUGCUGAACUUUGUUCUCAAUUUCAUGUUUGUUUUCUCAUUGUGUUGGCUGAUUGUUGUGCUGGUUACCUUGCUGUUUUUGGCUGGUUACUGAGCACGAAUUUGUGCCAUAUUAGAAACUCUCUUGUACCCAUAUUUUGAUCAUAGUGGAACUCUAUUAUUGGCUUGGUCCCGUGGUUGUUUACUUCUCACAUUGAGAAGGUUUUUCCACGUUAAAAAUUAUUGUGUCAUUUGUGAUGAUGAUUUUAGUUGCUGUGAUUAUUUGUUGAUUGCUCCUCACAGAUUCUUGCAAGUUUGGGAAAUUGAUUAUCCGCUGCAUAUUGCUCUGUUAGAGUUGUUAUUGUAUUUGUUGUUGAAUUUCCCAUCACAAUGCCUAUAGCAUUGUAAGUAAGUAUUAUCCUUUUGACGUCCACCUAUGUGGCAUUUCUUAUGACUCAUCCAAAAACUAUAAACAAAAAUAAAAAUUCUACAAAACCCUACGUGCUACCUCCUCAGUCUUUCUCAUGUAUCUCUCAUUCCAAAACAUAAUUAAUAUUUGUAUUUUUUUUUAUAACAUUUGUAUUUUUUUUACAUUGGAUGAUCAAGGACCGACUUAACAAGAUUUUUUUAAGUUAAUUCGUCAAAGAAAUAAUUUAACAAAUUUAUUCAAAAUAAUUUUUUUAACUUGAUAGUUAAAUUAAACAAUUUAAGAAGUAUUUUUUUAAGACGAGUGAGAGACAAUUAACUCAACAAAAGGUAAUUAUAAACUAGUGUGUAUUUCUAAUUUCAAAUAUGAGAAGAAAAAAAUAAAAACAAUAAUCUAAAAUAUAAAUAAAUCUCAAUUAAUUAUAAUUUAUAAUGAAGUUGAUUCAAUUAUGAAUAAUGAGAGAAUACAUUAAUUAAAAUCUCUAAGAUAUCAAUUAUCUUUAGUGAUUCAUUGUGUUUUCAGUAAUUUCAAUUAUAUUCAAUUUAUUUGGUCACAAAGCAUGUCCCAAAAUUAUAAUAAAUUUGUAAAGAAUAUAAGCUUUAUCAUAUAAGAUCUCCCUAAACAAUACAAACCUCUACAUAUCUAGAACUUUUCUAACAUAGUUGAAUUUUAUAGGAGUACGUAGUCUUAUAUAGUAUAUGGUUAAAAGGGCAUAUUAGUAUUCUUUAAUGUAUGCAUUCUAAGGGAGCUAUAGGAUACCUUUGCCUAUCACUACAAUAGUCAUAUAUCACAUAAUUUUGCUUUACAUUUUCAUAUUGUCUUUGGCCGGCAGGAUCCAAAUGCCAAUAAUUUUUGUCAUUCCACCAAUAGUUAUAAGAAACACAAUUUGGAUCAAUUAAGCUUUGACUUUGACAUCCACUAAUAUCAAAUCCUUGGAAAUUUGCUUUGAAAGGUGCAUAACUCCAAUUGAUUUUGGUUUGGCCUCCAUCUAUUGGCCAAUUCUCACCAUUCCAUAAACUUGCUUGUAUUUGCAUAGCCUUUGAUGGUAGCUCACUCCAAGAUUGCUAUUGUUCUUGUAAACCCUAAUGGGGAUAUUGCCCACAUAAAAUCUGCCAAAGUCAAACUAUCAUCAGAUUUUGUAACUACACAUAGUUAUAUUAAAGUUUAAAUAGCCUACGUAAAUAUAACAAUUUUCAGUUUUAGUAUCUAUAAAAUUUUUUGUUUGAAUUUCAUCCCUACAAUAUCUGAAAAUUUUAUUUUUGGUCAUUAACAUUAAGUGAACGUUACAAAAACUUAAGUUAACAAAAAAAAAAUUUUUUUUGUCCUUGCAAAUAUAAUAUUGUUCAGUUUUAGCCCCUACAAAAUUUUUUGUUUGAAUUUCAUCGUAUUCAUCACCAUAAAUCACACAUCUAAAAAGUGAGUUUUAUCAUUUUCAUCAUCCCAACAGUCCAUAUUUUCUUUCACCCAACUCAAUCUCUUUCUAAUUAUAUUCGUACUUCACUUAACUCAAUUUUUUCUAUCAAUAACUCUACCUCCAACUUCAUAUUUUCCCUCUAUUAUCUCAAAAAAAUAAUAUAUAUGCUUAACUAUUAACUACUUCCACUUUUUUCUAAAAAUCUUUAAAGUGUUAAAUAUAAUUAUUUUUUAUAAUCCCUAACAAAUGAAGUAUAAGUAACCACUACUACUUCAAAGAGAACCGGGGGACAUGUAAAUAUCUUACACAAUGUGAUGGGGGUUCCAUAGAAUUUUGCAGUCGUGAAAAUUUGUUGUGGGGUCAAACCAAAGGUGAAUUCUUUGCUCUCUAUUCCCAUCACCAUCUGCAAACACAUUGGUAUGUAAUGAAUAUGGCUUUCCUUCUCUAUUGCCCAAAAAUUCAAAGUCCAACUCGUCAUGCCUAUUUCCUUGUGAAAUCAACUGCACACAAAAUAAAUAAUGAAAUUAACAAUAAUAAUAUAUAUCUAUUAAUUUGGCCAAUUUCCCUUAUGGCAUGAUAUGAUAAUUUAGCUUCGUUAACUUUCUAAACAUAUUUUUUGUUUCUAUUAAAAAUAAAUUGUGUUAAUUUUAUUUGUUAAAAAAAAUUAUGAUUAAUUAAGUGAAUAAUUAUCUAUAUUUUUUAAAAUAAUAAAAAUAUCGGAUAAUUGUUUUGAUUAAAUUUUAUCGUCUCUUAACUACAAUGAUCAACUUCAUGAGUCUCAUAUUUUAUUAACAAGUUAAACUUAUAGAAAUUUAAAAAGAUAUAUAUGAAAAAAUGUUUUUACAAAAUAACGAAUCUUGAAUAUUAAUACGAUUUUUGAUUUAAUUUAUUAAUAAAAGAAAAAUAAAAUAAAAUAAAUAAUAAAUUAAAUAAUAAAUUACAUUAAGAGAUACAUAAUCAACCAACAUAAAAUAAAUAUCCGGAAGGUAGCAGUAAGAAUUAAGACAAUGAAAGAGUUUGGUGCAAAAGAUCCACAAUUCGAUGAUCUCGCACACUAACAAUCUUUCCUCCCCUAACUAAUUACUACUAUUUAUUUAUCCAAUAAAUAAAUAAAUUAGUGUAAAACUAACUAAUACAACUAAUUAACCAACCAAUUAAAAUUAAUUAAAAAAUUAAUUAGUUAAUUAAUUAACAAAUAAACUAACUAAUAUUAAGUCAAUCCAUAUAAACUAACUAAUAUUAAGUCAAUCCAUAUAAACUAACAAGAUAUUUAAUAAAUAUAAUAAAAUAAGAGAAAGAACUCACAUAGUAAGUUGUGACAACUCCAACAGAGUCAGUACCUGGCACUUUGAUCCUCACAUGAAAGAUUCCAGAGUCGUAAGACAUCUUCGAUGCAAAUUUAGACCCUAUUUGUCAUGUGGGUAUAAAUCAAUGUCAAAUUAACCGGCAAAUAGAAAGUAAUGUGGCAAAUAGCAAGUGUUGUAUAGAAAGCAAUGUGGCAAAUAGAAAGUGUUGUCUGAGUGGCUAGUAGCUUGAGUCUUUUAACCAUAUGUCCAGGGCUUGAAUCCUAGUGACAGAAACAGAGUUGCAUAUGCUCGGGGAGAGGAGUUGCCCCACAAUUAGUACUCUUCAUCCUAGAGGGAUUAGUCCUACAACUACUGAUUAAUGUGAUUCUACAGUUCUGUUCCCAGAUUGGAAAAAAAUAAACAGGUAACCCGCUCUAUAAAACCGUGUUAGCACUUGGCCCAAAACAAAGUCACUCUCACUCAAACUCACACUAAAGAGAGUGACUACGAAAGUAAGAAGGCAAGAACCAAGUUUAUAGAAAGAAACCUGUAUCAUGGGUGCUUUACAAAAUUUCUAUGUUGCUUACAAACUCUUUAUCACUCAAUGUCUUGGCCAAUCAAGACCUCCACCGUUUAUGAGAGAAAAUAAUAUGAGUUUUAAUAUUAUUGAUAAUAGCUUAAUGGUGACUUGAUUACAAAAGACUCAAUAUUAAUAUCAAUUUAUAGAGAAACAUAGACCUAAUUCUAAAUAACGAAUAAAUAAUAAUAAUAAUAAUGAGAGAUAUUCUAAGAUAUCUCUAUGAUUAUAAAUUGAUCCUAAUAAAUAAUUUAAGAUACUCUAAUAUAAUAUAAAAGAUAUUAUAAGAUAUUUUUUAAUAUUUUAACACUCCUCCUCAAGCUAAAGCUUGCUAAGCUUUAGUUUGCUACAAGAAAAUAAUAUUUUGCUCUGCAAAAUAAUAAAAAUGAUGGAAAAGCAAUUCAUGGAUGCAGGUGAAAUCGGAGAGAAUUGCUAUAAAUAUAGCCUAGCCAGAUAGCCGAUAUAAUCAUCAGUCUGAGAGAAAUUCAUGGCAAGCAAUUGAACAAAGCAAGGCCCGUUCUUCUAAAAACUACAUUUGGAAGCUUCAAACCAAUAAUAUUGGAGAGGCGUGCUUCAAGGAGAGAAAUGCAAGACCAGUACAUCUGGGACAAAAAUGGGGCCAAUGCAUCUGGGACAAAUUGUCAUGCUAAAGUGAGUCAUGAAAACAAAAGACAUUUUCAGAAUGACCAUCAAUGGAAAAAGAAGUCAUCACUAAUAUGAUUCAUCUGUGGGAAAAGGGACACCAUCGGAAUGAUCUUCGGUGGGAAUAGAAGCCACUGUUAUAAUCUAUUAGUAAGAACUAAAUUGCAUGACAAACACCAAAGAGGAAGCAACGCGACUCUAAUGACACGAAGCCAUGAUUGAUCAGCGAAGUGAGAAAAUGCAUCCAAAACAGGAGAGACAAUGGUUGUUUCGGAAAACUUGCUGGAAAACUUUUCCAGCAGCGACAAUAGAUAAAAGGCAACAGUAGACGGCGGAUCUUGGAGGCACAUGAGCGCGUGUGGAGCAACUUUUGAACUAAAAAAAUCUGGGUAUUGUAGAUUGGGAGAUUCCGCACACGAUGGAAGUGGGUGUAACCGUAGCCUGAAACUAGAAUACGAGGGCAAAUUCGAAACUUAGAGGUUGAGGCGCGAUUGGCUGUUGAAGCGAGAGCCAUCGUUGCUUGCUAAGUUGGGAACUCACUAUGAGUGAUGUGUAUACAUUACACUACAGAAGUUCCGCCAUGAACGCGGUUUGCGAGCUUCAGGUUUCGGUGAUGGUCCAAGAGUUUCUCUUCUGUGUGGGCCAAGUUUUUUGGGCUUUAUGUAAGCCCACUUAUAUUUAUUUAGGGAAAUCUUCUCUUUCAUUGUAUUCUCACAUGAUCCAAAAUUCUAAAUUUGCCCCUCUUUGGAUAUAUUAAGUGAUACUCUAACACAUAAAUUUGAUGUCAUGUCUUAGGAAACUUUUUGACGUUAAAUAGAGACAUAAAGAGACUAAUGACUAAUUCUUUUUCUCUAUUUAUUUAUUCCCCAAAUUUUUAAAUCCAUAAAUUCUCAAAAUAAAAAAAAAUAAAAAACUAUCAAAUUCCUAAAUUGUACCACCCAACUAACUUCUUCUCAUUCUCUCCUUAAAUUUGAAAUACAUGAAACAUUAGUCUUGAGGUUUUCGUCAAGGAGUUGAAAUUGGAAUUCCUCUAAAUGAUGUUGGUCCUCUGAAAGGUUGUGGAGAAGGUGUGGGUUCUUUGAGUGGUGUUGGUCCACUAAAAGUUUGUGGAGGUGGCGUUGAUCCUCUAAUAGAUGAUGGUCUGAUUCCAUGUCCAUCAAGGAUUCCCUACAAAAUUUUAAACAAUCAUACAACUUACAUGCUAAAUUUUCUAACUCGUUAGCAAAAAUCUCACUAAAAUUUACUUCUCUAUGAUUUUAAUAACUUACAAGUAAAAUGUUCUCUGACUAAAACCAAAUUUCCCCCACAAAGUAAAACAGUUAUUGACAGAGAGAUUCGUCACAAAGUAAACUAGACAUAUCAGACUAGUAAUUGUAAAAGUAGUGUAUUGAUCUUGGGAUUAUGUUUCUAUCUCUCUUUGUGGAUUUGGUAUAAUAGACACACUCUAUUGUCAUGUCAUUCCCCACCACAAUUAGAGCAUGUCCACUCAUUAUCAGAUCUCUUUAGUUUAUAGCCAUUGAUCGAAUCUUUAUUUCGAUCAUUUCUUUUCUUUUUCUUUUUCCUUCCCAUAGUUUUCUUUAAUGGAUGUGGUACUGAAGUAGCAAUGUCAAUCACAAAAAAAUGGAGGUUUGAAUUGUGAUUUCACCUUUUUAAAAUUUCCUGUUAAAACAUAGAGAAUUUAACUCAAGAUUAAUGAUGGUUAUGAAACUAGAAAAUGAAUAACGUUCUUGGUUAGUAGUGAAAAACACAAAAUUUAAUUUUUCUAUUUAAUUUGAUAAUCAAAAUACUAGAAAUAAAUAGAGAUAAGGGAAGAGAUAUCACACAGAGAUAUAUUCUGGUUCACCCAAUCCGGGUUACGUCCAGUCCUCACAACCGUGAGAUUUUUUACUAAGUGUUCAACACGAAGAACGUUCUUGGUUUUUACACCACCAGUUCAGAUCAACCUUGAUCUGUUAUAAUCUUCACCUUUCAACUUAGAAAUCAUUUUUACAAUCACCUUUCAACCUUGAAAAGAUUUUUACAAACACACUCAAUCUAACAUAAAAGAUAGACUUGAGUUACAAAUGAUGUGUAUGAUAAAAAUGUUUGGGAUCUUGAAAUUUCUCAAUACUUGUUUGAGAGAAAUGAAAGAUAAACUCAGUAAAUAAUGACCCAAAGAUAUAGUGAAGAAAGUUGGAGUUUGCUUAAAGAGUUUUUUUUUUUACUUGUUACUUGAACAAGUGUUGGUAGAUUUGUAAAUUGAACUCUUGCAUUCAUCUUCCAAUUGAUCUUCAAUUUAUAGAUGUUAAAAGGCUUUGAAUAUAUAUUUUAAAAUGAAACAUGUGUUUAUCUGUUGUCCAGAACGUUCUUGAUAAAACAGAGAACAUUCUUGCUAUUGGGUCUCUUGGAAAAUGUGAAUGAGUGAGUGAAUGAGUUGACACUGUUUUGAGUCAGAUUUGUGCAUAACUUUAUGCAGAAUAUUGUAAGUACAAUGUACUUGUGUCCUUGCUCACAACUCAACAAUUUGGAGAUCAAUCUUGAGAUUGUUUUUUACCUUUGGGCAUUGAUCUCGAGUUUUUGGCUUCACCAAUGAUUUGAGAAGUCUUUAUACUCUUUAAUAUGUGGUUUAGACUGUGGAAAAUUAUUUUUUUCAAUUUUAUCUUUUAAAAGAGAUUAACCAGAAUGUUCUUUUGUAAAACAAGAACAUUCUUCAUUUUCUAUUUUGUAUGAGUGUUGGAUUUUGACAGUUGUUGUGUGUCAGUCCUUUGUCUCAUAAAAACAUGAUGUGUUUUAUGCAAAAAGGUGCAGCAGUAGUGUCCUUGUUGUCAUGGUUGUCCUUACUCAUAGCUCAUCAAUUUGGAGAUUGAUUUUGAUGGUUUGCUUUGCUUAUGUUGAUCCUCUUUGAUCGAAUCUAUUUAAAAAAAUUCUUGUGUAGAUUAUUAAAUUACUCUGUAAUGAAUAUUGAUGUUUUGUAGUAUAGAUACAUGUAUUUUUGUAGUCCAGAUCCAAUUUAAACUACAACAUAUUUUGCUCUUUGUAAACCAGAACGUUCUUGGAUUAAAACUGUAAAAACAGAUAAUGUUCUUCAUUUCUGUUUUGAGUGAUUGUUGGAUUUUGACCAUUCUAACAGUUGUUGUGUGUCAAGUUUUUCUGCUUUGUACGUGUGUUAGUGAUGCAGUGACUUUAUCAUUUAUGUCCAGUUUGUACUUGCAUACUUUUUAGCCAUCAAUUUAGGGAUUAGUCUUACUUUUUAUUCUUGAUGCAUUGCUUUGUUUUUUGUUGAUCUUAUGAAAAGAAUAUGUCCAAAAUGAUCUUAAGUAUACAAUUAUGUUCCUUCGUAAUGAAUACUGGUGAUUUGCAAUGUAGAUUAAUGUAUUCUGUAGCCCAAAUUAAUCUUGAUUUAAAGAAGACUUUGUUCUUUGUAAACUAGAAUGUUCUUGGAUUAAAGCUAUCAAAACCAGAACAUUCUUCGUUUUUCAGAAUGUUAUCAAGAAUUAUCUUCGUUUUUCAGAAUGUUGUCAAUAAUGUUUUUCGUUUUUUCUAUUCAAUAACCAGAACAUUAUUCGUUUCUCAUAUUUGAUAUUGCUUCUUUCAAAUGAUCUUGUUUCCGAUUUAUAACAUAAUAUGAUCACUGAUUGUUGUAUGAAUGUAUUUGAUCACCUUCUUCAUGAAGAUGUAAUAAUCAUUCUCUUGAAUGAAUGAUAUAUGAUACAUUCUUUUUGAGAUUAUUUCAUUAUUGAUUGGAUACUUAUGUAGUUUGAUGAAGUGAGUUAAAACUCAAGUGCAAUCAUUAGUAUACCACCAUUCAUAAAACUUAAUCAUUUAUUUCAUAAGGUUUGUUGUUAUUAAAACAUAUAUCCAAAAGGUUUUUGCCUCAACAGGUACAAGUUUGGGUAAUCCAUUAUCCUCUCAAUAUUGUUGAGAAGUUGAAGGGUUUAUGAAGUAAUUGUAGGUUGUAUUGUAAGAGGUAAUUGUAAGUCAUCCAUUUAAAACUUUGGAGGAGAAGAAGAAUAAGUAAUUUAGGUAGUGCAGUUUAGGGAUUUAAUUAUUUGGAGAAAAAUAAAUAGAGAAGAAAAACUAGUUGUUAGUCUCUUUAAUGUGCUUAUUUAUGGUCAAAAUGCUCACUGUAAUGUGGCAUCCACACUUAUGUGUCACGGUGUCACUUAACGUGAAACACGAGCACCUAUAAUAGAGCUCAUUGGUGGAAGGAACAUUUUGCUCGACGUUAGACAAAAUGAGAGAUUUUUUUGCAAAGUGUAAAUUUUAGUGAGCAUUUUGAUUGAGAGUUAUAAUUUGAGGAGGCAAAUUGGAGGUUUACUCCACUUAAAAAUCCCAAACUCAAAAAUUCUCAAAUAUUUGAUUUUUCAUCAAAACAUCAUAUUUAGUUGGUUUACUAGUCUUAAUUGAGAUGUACAUGUCGUUUUUCCCCUUAUUUUAGUUUUUCCAUUUGUGUUUUUCUUCUUCUAAUCUACCAUGUCUAGAUUGACUAAUCCACGUACACUAUAUUUCUGAUUUUUUUUUUUUGUUUUAUUUCAUAGUUUCGUUUAGGGUAUUAUUAGUUUUAAUUAUUUUCAUUUUUCAUUUGUUUGUUUAAUUGAGAGAUGCUCCAAAUUUCCCGUAUUAGACAUGGUGGAAUUUCAACUCAUGCCUCUAGUUAUAGAUAACAUUAGGAGAAACAAACUUAUGGGAAGGAUUAAAGUUCACAUACAAAAAAAAAAAAAAAUACCACCACCACAUAUUUUAUCAUUUUUUGGAGUUGGAAUCUUUCCACGAAUACGCGGCAACUUAAAUAUAGAUUUAAAUAUAGAUAGGAGAGAAAAAUAUUCAAAUGCAUUUUGUUUAAAUAUCAAAUAAUAUAAAGUAAUCACUUGCAAAAUUUAGCCUCAAUCAUGGCCCACUUUAAUGUAGGCAUUCUAUAGGAGAUGUAGGAUGUCUUUUCCUAUCAGUACAAUAGUCAUAUAUUACAUAAUUUUUCUUUAUAUUUUUUAAUUGUUUUUCUUCUUGAGGAUUUAGUUGCCAAUAAUUUUGGUUAUUCCACCAGAAAUUACCAUUAAAACAUUUAGGAUCAACCAAGUUUGGAUUUAGACUUGGACAUCCACUAACAUCAAAUCCUUGGAAGUAUGCUUUAAAAGGUGCAUAUUUCCAAUUGAUUUUCGCUUUGCCUCCAUCAGAUGCCCAAUCAUCACCAUUUCACAAACUUAUUUGUAUUUGCAUAGCAUUUAAUGGAUAGCUCGCUCCAAUAUUGGUAUUGUUCUUGUAUACUCUAAUGGGGAUAUUGUCCACAUAAAAUCUGCCAAGCCAAAAUUUGAUCAAAUUUUACAAUUACAUAUAUAACUAUAUGUAAAUACAUUAAUUAAUAUAGACUUGUACAAAGAACUAGUGUGCAUGUAUGUAUCUUACACAAUUUGAUGUGCAUUCCAAAGAAUUUUGUAGUCGUGAAAAUCGACUGUGGGGUCAAACCAAAGAUGAAUUUUUUGCUCCCUGUUUCCUACUCCAUUUGCAAACACAUUGGUCUGUAAUGCAUAUGGCUUCCCUAUUCUAUUGCCCAAAAAUUCAAAGUCCAUCUCCUCGUGCAAUUUUCCAAGUGUUUUCAACUGCACAAUAAAUGAAAAAAAAAAUGAUAAACUUAUUAAAUUAUCUUUAUUAUUAGUUGUUGUAUUCUUUUUAUUAUAAAUGUAAAUUCAAAAAUAACAAUUUUAGUGUAAUACACGUAAUAUUAAUUAUGAUUUAAUUUAUAUAUAUUAUCAAUACAAAUAAUUUAUUAUUAAAAAUAUUUGGUAGUAAAUUUUUUUAGACAUAACAAUUAAAUUCUAUUAAUUAUAGGAUAAAGCUGAAAAAAAAUUAAUUAAAAUUGUAUUCGAAAUUAAAAGUAUAUACUUUUAAACAAUUUAAAUUUUGUAAAUGUGGCAAUUAUUAUAAGAAACAUGGACUAAUAAUUAGGAUUAAAUCCCCUCUUAUGGCAUGAAAUGAGAGUAUAAUUUCAUAUUCAACAUCAUAUCAUAUCAAAAUAAGGGGAAAGAACUCACAUAGUAAGCUGUGACAACUCCUGCAGAGUCAAUACCUGGCACUUUGAUCCUCAUAUGGAAGAAUCCGGAGCCAUAAGUCAUCUUCGAAGCAAAUCCAGCUCCUAUAUUGCGUAUGUGACAAAUUAAUAUCAAAUUGACUUGCAAAAAAGGAAGCAGUGUUCCAUAUUAAGAUAACUAAUCUACCAAUUACGUUCAAAUUAUAGUUACCCCAAGUUUUCUAUAUUGUAAUGUAUAUUUUUUUUGUUUACUUCAGAUAUUUUUUAAAAGAAAAAUGGUAAUAUAUAAAAAUAAAAAAAAGCAUUUCUAAAAAAAAUAUAAAGGUGCUCGCAUCUAUGUAUAUAAUACUUUCUCUGUCUUAUAAUAAAGAAAUGAAUGUUAUAACAUAUAUAGAUUUUUUUUAAAGUCUAUUUAUUUAUAAAAAAAAUUAAAUUAAAAACCACUUAAAAAACAUUUAAAUCUGACGACAUAAUUAAGUAAUUAUAGAUGAAUUAUUAUUAUAUUAAAUUGUACCUUUUAUGUUAAAUCAUUCAUUCUCUAACAUUUUCUAUAAUUUAUGCAUAUUAGUUUAUAUUACUUUUUGACUUAUUUAAGUGUAUUAUUAUAAAAUAGAGUUUAAAAAUAUUUUAUAUAAAGUUGAAUUCUUUAAAAUGUUAUGUUGAAUCUCAAAAUAGAAUUUAAUCUCAUUGACUUAUUAACUCAUUAAUUUAUUUAAAAGAAUAUUAAAUUAUUUAUUUGAAAAUAUUAUUAUAAAAUAGAUAUUCAAAUAUACUAAUAAAUUAUACUAGACUUUCAAAUAUAUCAGACUUAUACUUUGUAAAACCUAACUUGAUCAACAUAUAUAGACUUUUGUAGAUAGUUUGAUUAGUGAGAAAAAAAAAAUACUAAAACAAUUCAAAAGAAACCCCAGAUUAAAAUUUAAAAAAUUAAUGUAACUAAAUAUUUGAUAAUACAACUUUUAAGACAACAAUGAUGAAUUUUGCAUAAUUAAAUUGUGAAUGUAUAUAGUAAGAUAUUGACUGACAUAACAAAAUCAUGUGUCUUAUUUUCAAUGAUAAUUACCAUUUUCUAUGUUAUGUUAUGGAACUCUAGAGGAAGAAUCAUAUGACCAAACAAAAUCAAGUCCUAGACACUAUAGUAAUGGGAGUCAUUCUCUCCCAUGAAAUCUUAGUCUCAUAUAUAUAUAAGACAAAAAAAAUAAAAAAUAAUGGAUGAUAUUUUCUCCAUCUCAAAUGAAUAUCAAUUUAUCAAAACAAAUUUAUCUUAUGACGAAUGUGAUUUACAAUUUUAAAAAUAAUUUUAAUUUUUUUAUACUAUCUUUAAUAAUUAAUAUAUAUAUAUAUAUAUAUAUGACACUUAUUAUAAUCAAUAGAUUAAUUUCACCUAUAGAAACAGUAGUAUUACCAGCAUCAAAUAAAAAAUGAAAAAAUAGAUUUUAAUUUUGACACCAUUCAUGUUUAACGACUAAAUUAAAGACAAAUUUUAGUCUUUAAUUUAGUUGAUAUUUUAAUUAAAUUUGUUUCAUUUUUAUGACUUAAUCACUAAUAUACUUGUAGUGUUGAAUAUUUUUUCUUUUAACUGAAAAAAUAGGUGUGACCAUUUAAACAAAAAAUAAACAAACGUGGAAAAGGCGAUUUAACAAUAAUUAAGGUAAAAUGAAUGAUUAAUAUAUAACCUGAAUAGUUAUCCAUUGUGAGCAGAAUUUCUUUCCCUUGGUUUAAAGACACUAAAUGAUUGCCACCCCAUGUGGGGUUGUAAGUUUGACCAAAUACUACUCUUUCAUUUUUCCUAAUUACUCUACCAAGAACAACAUGAGGGACGAGGACCAAAAUAAAAAUAAUAAUUAGAGAACUCAUUGAAUAAUGUGAGCAAAUUUAGCCACAGGGUUUAAUCUUUUACACAGCUAUGAAUCGAUUUGAUUAUAAUUGCUACUCUAGUUCUUCAUCUAUAUAUAUAUAUAUGUGUGGGUCACGUUAACUUUUCAAUAGUCAAUACUUUUUUUGACCCGGCCAUUUUUAGUGUUUGAAUAAAUUAACUUUAAAAUUAAAACAAUAAAUAAGACCUUUGAAAAUAAAGUUAAAUGCGUUUGACAGUUAAGUAUUUUUGCUGCUUUAAAAGCUAUUGUUAAAGUGUAGUAUAUUGAAAUUCUAAUCAUGAAAAGAUACAAUUAAUGAAUGAAAUAAAUGUGUUAUAAUAUUUUAUUGUUCUAUAUUUGAAAAAUUAUUAAAUAAUUUUACUAAUGUACUUAUUGGGUUAAAAUUUCUAAUAAAGUUUUAACGAAACUAAGAAACUCGCCAAUAUAAAUAUAAUUUAAUUAAUUGUACAAACAUUUUAUUUUAACUUUAAUAUAUUAGUUUAAAAAUUUAUUGAUAUAUCUAAUUUUAUCAAUGUAAUUAAAUAUAUUUUAAUCUUAAUUUUGACUUACAUAGUUACUAGUUAAUAUUAUAUUUAACAAAAUGGAUAAUUUUUAUUUUUUUUCCAUAUUUUUUAUUAAUAGAAAACAUAAUAUAUAGUAUUAUGUAAUUCUUUUUUUACGGAAGUUUUAUAUGAUCAACAAUAUACACUACGGCCAUUUUUUAUAAUAAAAUAUAUACAAUUUUUGGUAAGAGAAAAUAGUAUUAAUACUUGUAGUUGGUCAAAAACAUAGUUGUUGGUCAAAUUAAUUUGUAAAUUAACUAAAAAAUUAAUUAGUUAAUUAAUUAACAAAUAAACUAACUAAUAUUAAGUCAAUCUAUAUAAAUUAAGCAGAUACUUAAUGAAUAACAUAAAAUAAGAGAAACAACUCACGUAGUAAGCUGUGACAACUCCUGCAGAGUCAGUACCUGGCACUUUGAUCCUCAUAUGAAAGAUUCCAGAGCCGUAAGACAUCUUCGAUGCAAAUCCAGACCCUAUUUGUCAUGUGGGUAUAAAUCAAUGUCAAAUUAACCGGCAAAUAGAAAGCAAUGUGGCAAAUAGAAAGUGUUGUCUGAGUGGCUAGUAGCUUGAGUCUUUUAACCAUAUGUCCAGGGCUUGAAUCCUAGUGACAGAAACAGAGUUGCAUAUGUUCGGGGAGAGGAGUUGCCCCAUAAUUAGUACUCUUCAUCCUAGAGGGAUUAGUCCUACAACUACUGAUUAAUGUGAUUCUACAGUUCUGUCCCCAGAUUGGAAAAAAAUAAACAGGUAACCCGCUCUAUAAAACCGUGUUAGCGCUUGGCCCUAAACAAAGUCACUCUCACUCAAACUCACACUAAAGAGAGUGACUAAGAAAGUAAGAAGGCAAGAACCAAGUUUAUAGAAAGAAACCUGUAUCAUGGGUGCUUUACAAAAUCUCUAUGUUGCUUACAAACUCUUUAUCACUCAAUGUCUUGGCCAAUCGAGACCUCCCCCGUUUAUACUAGUCCCAUGGAUAGUGAAGAUUUAGUACCAAUGUAGAUCCAUUCUCUAGACUCCAACAUAACAUCUUACACAUUUACAAAUGAUAUUCCUAAGCAGAGUUCCCAGUUGUUCUAAGUCCUUUCUGUCAAACUCGGUAGAACCUUUGGUAGAACCUUUGGAUAAUUACAAAUUGCUGAAAUUAUAGAAAUAAUAGUAUUUCAGGUAUAAAGAUGUUACUAAAACAGACAAAGAACUGAUCCUUAUUUAUACAAAUAUACUAAACUCCUAAACUUAAUUAAAUGAGUAGAUGAAUCCUGAAAAAUAUAUUUCCUUAACAAGCCAAGUUUGGACUGAGCAUAUUCUUGUCUAGCUUGACUCACUUUUCCCCAACUUUGAAGAACUCAGAAGGACAUAUAUGUAUGCCAAAUUGAUAUUUCAUGAUACCUCCUACUUUCCUAUCAUAACAUUAGCAGUCUUAUUUAUUUAGUUCGUAAUGAUCUUUGAAUUAAGAUUUCUGCAGUUGUUUGAUAACAUUAACUUAAAGGAGUUUGUUAAUCUAACAAAAAGUGAGGUAAAUAUCCAGAAGAAAAAGAAAUACAAAAGAAAAUAAGAAUUUGAGCAAACCUUAUCAAACUCUAUAUUUAAUACAGCAGAUUUAAUGUCACAAGGAAGCAUGAGGAUCAGCUCCAUCAUCCCUAGUGAUACUUUGUCUUCAGAAGGUGAAACACUUAUUCUCUCAACAAAGGCUGUGACUACUUGAGGCUUUUCAUCUACUAAUAAUUGUAAGGUGUGGUAAUAUACCUUAAUAUACCAAGGCACAAUUUGGAGAACAUUAACUUGUAACUUACACCUCUCUUCAAGAUCACUGGCUGCAACGAAGCCCUUAGUCAAAUCCGUAGAUUUCAAGGAUAUUGCAAUCGAACCCCUUUCAUUUCCACUUCCCAUUAAAAAUCUACUGGCAUAUAAAGGUGCGUGUGAACUGGACCAAACAACUGGAUGCUUCCAAGUUAGGCCUAAAUCAAACUGUUCGGUGUCUUUGUACCCAUUGAUUGAAUAUUCAUACAGAACUGAGUUUUUUUCCAGCUCUCUAUGGACCCUGUCUGGGGUAACAGUUAAGUCAAAGCCAAGAUUCCACCUCAAAUCAUCUGUACCUAUGUCAUUAGAAGCAUAUGCAGCAGUAUUCUCCUGGAGCUCUUCAAGUUUAGUAACUAGACCCCUUUCAACUUGAAGGUAAACAUUACUCGACUUGGCAAGAACACAUCUUCCAUUUAUUUUUCGUCCAAAUAUUGAACUCAGAGACCAGCUUGGUUGAAUCUUUGUUUCACUUGGAUAGCUCAUGCCAGCUCUCUGAAUAUUAGGCUCAAGAACAACUGUAAGCGUUUGUUCUAGAAUAAUUCCUGAAUCCAACCCAUCUGCAGCAGUUUUUGAUGCUGUCAAGUGCAAUCGCUGUGAAUGAUAAAACCUUCUGUAAAUAGACGGUCUAUCCAUUAAGGCCGAAAGUCCAGCUUUAUCUCGACAAGGAAGGAGUUUCAACCAGGGAGUUAGAUUCUCUGUGCAUACAGCUUCACGUGGCAGUGUGCCAUAUCUUAAACUACCUAAGGCUGACUGAAAUGCCCAUUUCGGAGCAGAAUAAGAGCUAGAAGACUCUAGGAAGUUUAUUGAAGCGCAAAAAAGACCUGACAGAGAAUGAGUUAAAUUUUUCCAAGAAGCAUCAACCUGAUGUUGUGGGACAUCAAAGACUGCCCACAAUUCAACUCCAGGAGGCUUUGCAUUUUGGCUGGAUAUUGGAUCAAAUCCACCCCAUCUUUCAUAGUUCCAUCAACCUUGAGUGAAGGAUAACUCCAUUGCUUUAAUGUGAAAUUUCUUAACCUGUCCAUCCAACACUAAUCCACAUGUUAAUUAGUAUAUUCAGGAAAACAAUUCCGAGAAGACAGAAUAUAACAAAAUUAACAAAUUUGCUUCUACAAGUCGCAGGAACAACACAAAAACAUAGUAUAUACUAAAUCAUAAGCAAGCAAAAUUAAAAUAUUAAUUUAUAAAACCCGGAAGGCCCGAUAGCAUCUGGUGCCAAGUAACGGAUUUGCUCUGAAAUGAAACCAACCAAUUAUUUUAGGGAUAAACGAUAUUCAUCUCUGAACUAAAAGUACAAAUACUUAGAUGGCCAAUUCAGUUUACAACGAUCGCCCCAUGCUUUAUCCAGUUACACUUACAUCUUCCAUUUGUAAUCAUAUAUCUUAAAAGUAGAUUGUAUCAGAUAUGAUCUAACAAGCAGACUGAUGCUCAGGGAAAAGCCAAGACAACUUCACCUCAAUGAUGCUAGACAUUCAACUCUCUUCGUCAAACGGUCAUUCAUAUAUACAAGACUUAUCAAUUCAGGAAACAUGUAUUAAAUACCUCAAUAGGACUUAAAGCAGCGAGUAACAGAAAUAACAGUCAGCAACAGUAAAUGCAGGGAUUAGGCAGUUGAAAUAGUUACUAGAUAUACAAAUAGACAUGGGGAUCAUAAGUCAAUAUCAGUCUAGAAUUAAUUUUGACAUGUUUGGUUGUUAUCGAGUUGAAUUGAUUUUAACUCCAAAAUUGAUUAUGACUUAAUUGGCAUUUAGUGUUAGAUUUAUCCUCAACUCACUUUCACAUGAAUGUAUCUAAACAUAAGUCAGUUUCAACUAACUAUAAGUCAAUAUCAAUUUUACAGAAUCAAUUCAUUCAAAACAAUUUUUGCAAGAACAAAACACACUGUAAAAGUAAAACUUUAAAGAAUCAUAAGCAACAUUAAGUUUAAACUACGUAAAUAUCACAACAUCUAGGAAAUAUUAAAACAACUUCAAUCAAUUGAAUCCAAAUUCAAGUGAGACAUUCCAACAAAUAACUUAAAAAUCGAAAAUAAAUGAAUAAAAGAAAAUUGAAAAGUGUAAAGCGCGCACACACACCAGCUGAGAAAUAGAUUUAGGGAAGAGAUGAUGGUGACGAGCGAAGGAAUCUUCAGACAUAGAAGCUUCAGUUUGGAAGUGAAAAUGCGCAAGCCCUUUACGAUCGGGUAAGGGUUUCAAUAGCAACUCCUCGGAAAAUUCUUCUUCUUCUUCUUCUUCUUCUAAUAUUGCCGAUGAUAGAAUCGGAAGAAAGAGAAGAAGAGAGAGAGCAAAGGUCGCUGUUGAAGCGAGAGCUAUCGUUGCUUGCUAAGUUGGGAACUCACUAUGAGUGAUGUGUAUACAGUACACUACAGAAGUUCCGCCAUGAACGCGGUUUGCG
Molecule: long non-coding RNA, 33392 nt
Filed under: Cicer arietinum (chickpea)
Lineage: Eukaryota; Viridiplantae; Streptophyta; Magnoliopsida; Fabales; Fabaceae
Description: long non-coding RNA (CARI_LNC002374)
Source: RNAcentral